UACGUAGGUGGCAAGCGUUGUCCGGAUUUAUUGGGCGUAAAGCGAGCGCAGGCGGUUUUUUAGGUCUGAUGUGAAAGCCUUCGGCUUAACCGGAGAAGGGCAUCGGAAACCGGGAGACUUGAGUGCAGAAGAGGACAGUGGAACUCCAUGUGUAGCGGUGAAAUGCGUAGAUAUAUGGAAGAACACCAGUGGCGAAGGCGGCUGUCUGGUCUGUAACUGACGCUGAGGCUCGAAAGCAUGGGUAGCGAAC
RNAcentral lists this ribosomal RNA (250 nucleotides) under uncultured bacterium. RNAcentral's name for it is "partial 16S ribosomal RNA". It matches the Rfam family "Bacterial small subunit ribosomal RNA", at positions 524 to 773 of the family's 1533-position model. The record is from RNAcentral.